This 490-nucleotide ribosomal RNA is filed under the name uncultured bacterium. Its description in RNAcentral is "partial 16S ribosomal RNA". It matches the Rfam family "Bacterial small subunit ribosomal RNA", at positions 29 to 505 of the family's 1533-position model. The record is from RNAcentral.
AGUGAACGCUGGCGGUAGGCCUAACACAUGCAAGUCGAACGGCAGCACAGUAAGAGCUUGCUCUUACGGGUGGCGAGUGGCGGACGGGUGAGGAAUACAUCGGAAUCUACUUUUUCGUGGGGGAUAACGUAGGGAAACUUACGCUAAUACCGCAUACGACCUACGGGUGAAAGCAGGGGAUCUUCGGACCUUGCGCGAUUGAAUGAGCCGAUGUCGGAUUAGCUAGUUGGCGGGGUAAAGGCCCACCAAGGCGACGAUCCGUAGCUGGUCUGAGAGGAUGAUCAGCCACACUGGAACUGAGACACGGUCCAGACUCCUACGGGAGGCAGCAGUGGGGAAUAUUGGACAAUGGGCGCAAGCCUGAUCCAGCCAUACCGCGUGGGUGAAGAAGGCCUUCGGGUUGUAAAGCCCUUUUGUUGGGAAAGAAAAGCAGCAGGUUAAUACCCCGCUGUUCUGACGGUACCCAAAGAAUAGGCACCGGCUAACUUCG